GAUGAACGCUGACAGCAUGCUUAACACAUGCAAGUCUUUGGCGAAUCUGUGCUUGCACCUGUUAGCCAAUGCGGACGGGUGAGUAACGCGUAAAGAACUUGCCCUGCAGACAGGGAUAACAGGCGGAAACGACUGAUAACACCUGAUACAAUUGCCGUCGCGCAUGUGCCUGUCAAUGAAAAGAGAUGCUGCAGGAGAGCUUUGCGUCCUAUUAGCUUGUUGGUGAGGUGACGGCUCACCAAGCCGCUGAUAGGUAGCCGGCCUGAGAGGGUGAACGGCCAAAAGGGGAAUGAGAGACGGCACUUACUCCUACGGGGGGCAGCAGUGGGGAAUAAUGGACAAUGGGGGCAAGACUGAUCCAGCAAUUCUGUGUGAAAGAAGAAGGUUUUAGGAUUGUAAAGUGCUUUCAGCAGGGAAGAAGAAAGUGACGGUACCUGCAGAAGAAGCGACGGCUAAAUACGUG
Molecule: ribosomal RNA, 463 nt
Filed under: uncultured bacterium
Lineage: Bacteria
Description: partial 16S ribosomal RNA
Rfam family: Bacterial small subunit ribosomal RNA
Source: RNAcentral